GGGAUUGCACAGACAACCAGGAUGUUGGCUUAGAAGCAGCCACUCAUUCAAAGAGUGCGUAAUAGCUCACUGGUCGAGUGAUCCUGCGCCGAAGAUUUCCGGGGCUAAAACUUACUACCGAAGCUACGGCAUCAGUAAUGAUGGGUAGGGGAGCUUCCCAUACGGGUUGAAGCAUGACCGUAAGGACAUGUGGACAGUAUGGGAGUGAGAAUGUUGGCAUGAGUAGCGAGAUGUGGGUGAGAAUCCCACAGGCCGUAAACCCAAGGUUUCCAGGGGAAGGUUCGUCCGCCCUGGGUUAGUCGGGACCUAAGCUGAGGCCGAAAGGCGUAGGUGAUGGACAACAGGUUGAUAUUCCUGUACUACCGAUAACCGUUUGAGAGAAGGGAUGACACAGUAGGAUAAGCUAAGCACACUGUUGGUUAUGUGUGCCCAAGCAUUGAGGCAGUCAAAGUAGGCAAAUCCGCUUUGAUAAUGCUGGGAUGUGAUGGGGAGCGAAAUUUAGUAGCGAAGUAGCUGAUUUCACACUGUCAAGAAAAGUCUCUAUCGAGGUUAAAGGUACCCGUACCGCAAACCGACACAGGUGGGUGAGGAGAGUAUCCUAAGGCCAGCGAGAGAACUGUUGUUAAGGAACUCGGCAAAAUGACCCCGUAACUUAGGGAUAAGGGGUGCCACCAUCAGGUGGCCGCAGAGAAUAGGCCCAAGCGACUGUUUACCAAAAACAUAGGUUUCUGCUAAGUCGCAAGACGAUGUAUAGGAGCUGACGCCUGCCCGGUGCUGGAAGGUUAAGGGGAUCUGUUAGAGCAAUCGAAGCAGUGAACUUAAGCCCCAGUAAACGGCGGCCGUAACUAUAACGGUCCUAAGGUAGCGAAAUUCCUUGUCGGGUAAGUUCCGACCCGCACGAAAGGCGUAACGAUUUGGGCACUGUCUCAACAACAGACUCGGUGAAAUUGUAAUUCCGGUGAAGAUGCCGGAUACCUGCGACAGGACGGAAAGACCCCAUGGAGCUUUACUGUAGCUUGACAUUGGGUCUUGGUACUACAUGUACAGGAUAGGUGGGAGGCUUUGAAACCAGGACGCCAGUUUUGGCGGAGCCAUCCUUGGGAUACCACCCUUGUAGUACUGGGACUCUAACCAUAGGCCAUGAAUCUGGUCUUGGGACACUGUCAGGUGGGCAGUUUGACUGGGGCGGUCGCCUCCCAAAAGGUAACGGAGGCGCUCAAAGGUUCUCUCAGUACGGUCGGAAAUCGUACGUAGAGUGUAAAGGCAAAAGAGAGCUUGAUUGCAAGACAUACAGGUCGAGCAAGGAUGAAAAUCGGACUUAGUGAUCCGGUGGUUCUGCGUGGAAGGGCCAUCGCUCAACGGAUAAAAGCUACCCUGGGGAUAACAGGCUUAUCUCCCCCAAGAGUCCACAUCGACGGGGAGGUUUGGCACCUCGAUGUCGGCUCAUCACAUCCUGGGGCUGUAGUAGGUCCCAAGGGUUGGGCUGUUCGCCCAUUAAAGUGGUACGCGAGCUGGGUUCAGAACGUCGUGAGACAGUUCGGUCCCUAUCCGUCGCAGGCGUAGGAAAUUUGAGAAGACCUGUCCUUAGUACGAGAGGACCGGGAUGGACGUACCUCUGGUGUACCAGUUGUCCUGCCAAGGGCAUGGCUGGGUAGCUAUGUACGGAAUGGAUAAGCGCUGAAAGCAUCUAAGCGCGAAGCCAACUUCAAGAUAAGAUUUCCCACCGCAAGGGUAAGACCCCAGAAAGACUAUCUGGUUGAUAGGUCGAAGGUGUAAGUGCAGCAAUGUAUUUAGCUUAUCGAUACUAAUAGGUCGAGGACUUGACCAA
This 1828-nucleotide ribosomal RNA is filed under the name Clostridioides difficile. RNAcentral describes it as "bacterial LSU rRNA". It matches the Rfam family "Bacterial large subunit ribosomal RNA", at positions 1077 to 2925 of the family's 2925-position model. The record is from RNAcentral. Lineage: Bacteria; Bacillati; Bacillota; Clostridia; Peptostreptococcales; Peptostreptococcaceae.